UCCGGUUUAUCACCGGCAGUCCCCUUAGAGUGCGCCGCUUUCGCGACUAGCAACUAAGGGCAAGGGUUGCGCUCGUUACGGGACUUAACCCAACAUCUCACGACACGAGCUGACGACAACCAUGCACCACCUGUGCACGGCCCUUACGGACCCCGCAUCUCUGCGAGAUUUCCGUGCAUGUCAAGCCUAGGUAAGGUUCUUCGCGUUGCAUCGAAUUAAGCAACAUGCUCCGCCGCUUGUGCGGGCCCCCGUCAAUUCCUUUGAGUUUUAGCCUUGCGGCCGUACUCCCCAGGCGGGACACUUAACGCGUUAGCUGCGGCACAGAGGGAUUCGACUCCCCCCACACCUAGUGUCCAUCGUUUACAGCUAGGACUAC
RNAcentral lists this unclassified non-coding RNA (376 nucleotides) under uncultured bacterium. RNAcentral describes it as "contains 16S-23S intergenic spacer region". The record is from RNAcentral.